This 1343-nucleotide ribosomal RNA is filed under the name uncultured bacterium. RNAcentral describes it as "16S ribosomal RNA". It matches the Rfam family "Bacterial small subunit ribosomal RNA", at positions 28 to 1378 of the family's 1533-position model. The record is from RNAcentral.
GACGAACGCUGGCGGCGGGCUUAACACAUGCAAGUCGAACGGAAAGGCCCUGCUUUUGUGGGGUGCUCGAGUGGCGAACGGGUGAGUAACACGUGAGUAACCUGCCCUUGACUUUGGGAUAACUUCAGGAAACUGGGGCUAAUACCGGAUAGGAGCUCCUGCUGCAUGGUGGGGGUUGGAAAGUUUCGGCGGUUGGGGAUGGACUCGCGGCUUAUCAGCUUGUUGGUGGGGUAGUGGCUUACCAAGGCUUUGACGGGUAGCCGGCCUGAGAGGGUGACCGGCCACAUUGGGACUGAGAUACGGCCCAGACUCCUACGGGAGGCAGCAGUGGGGAAUAUUGCACAAUGGGCGGAAGCCUGAUGCAGCAACGCCGCGUGCGGGAUGACGGCCUUCGGGUUGUAAACCGCUUUCGCCUGUGACGAAGCGUGAGUGACGGUAAUGGGUAAAGAAGCACCGGCUAACUACGUGCCAGCAGCCGCGGUGAUACGUAGGGUGCGAGCGUUGUCCGGAUUUAUUGGGCGUAAGGGGCUCGUAGGUGGUUGAUCGCGUCGGAAGUGUAAUCUUGGGGCUUAACCCUGAGCGUGCUUUCGAUACGGGUUGACUUGAGGAAGGUAGGGGAGAAUGGAAUUCCCGGUGGAGCGGUGGAAUGCGCAGAUAUCAGGAGGAACACCAGUGGCGAAGGCGGUUCUCUGGGCCUUUCCUGACGCUGAGGAGCGAAAGCGUGGGGAGCGAACAGGCUUAGAUACCCUGGUAGUCCACGCUGUAAACGGUGGGUACUAGGUGUGGGGUCCAUUCCACGGGUUCCGUGCCGUAGCUAACGCUUUAAGUACCCCGCCUGGGGAGUACGGCCGCAAGGCUAAAACUCAAAGGAAUUGACGGGGCCCCGCACAAGCGGCGGAGCAUGCGGAUUAAUUCGAUGCAACGCGUAGAACCUUACCUGGGUUUGACAUGGAUCGGGAGUGCUCAGAGAUGGGUGUGCCUCUUUUGGGGUCGGUUCACAGGUGGUGCAUGGCUGUCGUCAGCUCGUGUCGUGAGAUGUUGGGUUAAGUCCCGCAACGAGCGCAACCCUUGUUCACUGUUGCCAGCACGUUAUGGUGGGGACUCAGUGGAGACCGCCGGGGUCAACUCGGAGGAAGGUGGGGAUGACGUCAAGUCAUCAUGCCCCUUAUGUCCAGGGCUUCACGCAUGCUACAAUGGCUGGUACAGAGAGUGGCGAGCCUGUGAGGGUGAGCGAAUCUCGGAAAGCCGGUCUCAGUUCGGAUUGGGGUCUGCAACUCGACCUCAUGAAGUCGGAGUCGCUAGUAAUCGCAGAUCAGCAACGCUGCGGUGAAUACGUUCCCGGG